GUUCACACGAAAGCAACAAUAACAGGAAUCAAAGUAGGUGGAAAAAAUCUCUGACUACCAAAAUUAAAGUUUUGAACAAAUGAGAGCAUAAAUUUUGCUAAGGUGUUCAAACACAGAAAAAGAAUAGGGAAGAAUAUUCCAAACAGAAGCAAAAUAUUUUCAUUGUCCUGGAAGAUGUAAUAGUCCAGUUUCCCUCUCUGACCUAAUGGAGGCAGUAUGAUUGUUAAUAUCAGCCAUAUCAACUGCAAGCCCUAUCAACAAAUUAGGUAUCAGACUAAAAUCCCAAAGCAG
This 291-nucleotide unclassified non-coding RNA is filed under the name Hevea brasiliensis (rubber tree). Lineage: Eukaryota; Viridiplantae; Streptophyta; Magnoliopsida; Malpighiales; Euphorbiaceae. The record is from RNAcentral.